AUGCUGGAAGUUGGUGGCUCGCAGUGCCUGGAGCUGGGAGGUUCAUCAAAUAUUUUGUUAAAGGACGGCAGGCUGUCCUCAGCAUGGUCCGGAAGGCCAAGUACCGGGAGCUACUCCUUUCAGAGCUCCUGGGCCGGCGGGCACCUGCCUCGGUGCGACUCGGCCUCGCCUACCACGUACAUGACCUCAUUGGGGCCCAGCUGGUGGACUGUGUCUCCACCACUUCUGGAACCCUCCUCCGCCUGCCAGAGACCUGAGGACUCUGUUCAUCAUUGCACACCUCCCCAGGGUGGGGAUUGAGGGGCCCAGGAGGGCUGCCCGCCCUGGCUCAGGCAGGGUCACCUUGGGAAGGCUCGGGAGCCAGGAUGAGUGCUGGGCUUGCUGCUGUGCCGAGGGUCAGAUGUGACUGCCGCUGUUGACCUGGGCUGCGUCCCAGUGGAGGGGUUUGGGCUGUGCUUCUCUGCCCUUUCACGAAAGUGGAGCCAGAAACCUUGCCAAGGCCAUGGCUGCUGUCUUUCAUGCAGCAAGGUGCUGCCACUAUUCUGUCUGGGGUGGGAAGGAGGGGUCACUGGGUAAGCUGUCAAAGUUGGACAGAGUUUUUCUUCCUAUAUGUUGGGCUGAAACUGGCAAAUAAAGUACUUCUGAUGUUUUGUGGAUGUCUUUUG
This 665-nucleotide long non-coding RNA is filed under the name Bos mutus (wild yak). Its description in RNAcentral is "lncRNA (ENSBMUG00000006616.1)". The record is from RNAcentral. Lineage: Eukaryota; Metazoa; Chordata; Mammalia; Artiodactyla; Bovidae.